GUUUGUUUCCUGUUCAGCAGCAGAGUCACUUCACAGACAUUCAACAGCUUCAUGACGAUUAUUUCUCACCAUCAGAAGCUUCUUACCUGACCACCAGAGGGCGGGCUCUUCUGUUAAACCAGUGGACUCACCUGCAGUGAAGGGCUGUAAAGUGUGAUGCAAACAGCGUCUUGACAGGUGGCGCUCUGCUAUGAAUCAGAUCAAGGACAGUGAAGAGGAAGCUCCGCCCUCUAAAACCACUCUGUGUGAGGAACAUGAGGGUCAGAGGAGGAUCCAUCAACAGAGACCAGACUCUGCCGGACCUGGACCUGGACCUGGACCCAGCUGUGUGUCCAUGAAGAGUGACUGGUCCAUGUAUGAACCUUUGAACUUCAAACAAGAACAGAGGU
Long non-coding RNA from Solea senegalensis (Senegalese sole), 389 nucleotides. RefSeq lists it as uncharacterized. NCBI's taxonomy places the organism in Eukaryota, Metazoa, Chordata, Actinopteri, Pleuronectiformes, Soleidae. The transcript is spliced from 4 exons. The record is from RefSeq and is a predicted model, not a curated record.